Long non-coding RNA from Magnolia sinica, 1469 nucleotides. RefSeq lists it as uncharacterized. The record is from RefSeq and is a predicted model, not a curated record. NCBI's taxonomy places the organism in Eukaryota, Viridiplantae, Streptophyta, Magnoliopsida, Magnoliales, Magnoliaceae. The transcript has 3 exons.
GCCAUCUUUUUCCUAAACAAUUGAUAUUUAUAUUCUUUGACAGUGCUUAUCAAAUUAAAAUUUAUAUCUCACAACUACUGGCCGCACUUGUAACAGGUAACAGGACACUUCAACCUAAUACAGGUUAGGCUCAAAUCAUGGGCCCAUCUUUAUACGGGGUAGGGCCUCAAAUUAAGUGUUUGGGAAAUUUUUAGUUUUAACCUCUGAUGUUGAUUUGUAGAACUAGUUAGAUUUAGCAUGGAUUUAUGUUUAGAUUCGUAGAACUGGUUAGAAAAUGCUUUCCUAUUAAGGGUUUAGGGCAUGUUCAGGUGCCACUUAAAAAUGAGUUCAUCUCAUUUAGUUAAUAUUAGUAGUGCAUCAGAGAUCAUAAAUGGUUGGUUAUCAUGAUGACUUUUAAUUCUACGUAAAAAAAUUUAAAAAAGAAGAAUAUCCUUAAUACAUAAUUAGGAAUAACCAAAAUGAGAUGAAUUCAAAUUUUUUUUUUAAUGGCAUCCAAACGGGCCCUCAUGGGGCAUGCCCUUGGGGGUUUAUUCUACGUUUAUAAAUGCAAAUUCUUCAUGUGCAUUAAUUAGUUUUGGAUGUCUUUGAUUUUGGAUCUUCAGGUUUUGAUCUGUAGAGGUUUGUUGAUCCCACGUGCUUAUGUGUGUAGCCUUGCCCCUCUGCGUGUCUGAACAUGUGUAUGGUGCACAAGUUGUGAACAUCCAAGCUGUCCAUCAUUCCAACCCCUAUAGGGAGCUUUAUCGUGUUCCCAUGAUCUCUGUAUAGGUGGGGACUGUUUUGAAAUGUUACUUACAACUGACUUUGGCUGUUCUACAAGCUAUCCCAUAUGUGAAGGUUAGAUCUGCUUGGUUUUCUUCUCGAAAUGUCUUCCAUCUGUUUCAUCUCACGAAGGUUGUUGUAAUGCUGAUUUUAAGUCUUUGCAAGGGUUGCUCCUGAACAGGAGGAGCUUAUCAUGACCACUUUUAAGACCGUGGGAAGGAUGGCAUUGAUGUGUGGAGACGGGCCGAUGAUGUUGGGGCUCUGAAGCAGUGGAUCUGAGAUUGGGAGAUUUGUUGCUAUGCUUCGGAAUUCUUCUUCUAUUCUCAGGUCAUGUGCUGCUUUUGCUUUGUUACAGGGACUGAUCUCGUGUUGAAGAGGGUGCAUCCAAUAGGCAGAUCGUCAACCAUAGUUCUACAACUCGUCGAGUCUACUCAAAACAAGGCCAUAAACUCAACAAAGUGACUCGACUAAAGUCACGAGACUCAUCCUAAUCAUUUUUUUCAUCCAAUAGGUAUUUUCUCUUGCUUUAGACGUUCUAUAGCAUAUUGUGUUUGUAAUUAUCAUUUUCCUUGCUAUAGUGGAUGGCAGAACAAGAUUCAUCUCAACUUUUUGAAUAGAAUUCUUAUUAAACAAUCGUGUGAAUUAUUUUUUGAAUGACCAUCAAGUGUAAGAUUCAAAAUAAAAAAUAAAAAAUUCGGGAUAAUUUUUUU